Long non-coding RNA from Mesocricetus auratus (golden hamster), 678 nucleotides. RefSeq lists it as uncharacterized. Lineage: Eukaryota; Metazoa; Chordata; Mammalia; Rodentia; Cricetidae. The transcript has 4 exons. The record is from RefSeq and is a predicted model, not a curated record.
AAAAAGAGCUUUAAGAACUGAUACAGAAAGGAACUCGAGGACAUCUUGAAGGACUCAGGAAUGCCGAUGGGGCCCUUGUUCCUUCAGCAGAGGCCACAAGGAUCUGAGGAUGGCCGUGAACUUCAGAUCCUCCUGCCAUCACCUCCAAAGUGCUGAGAUUACAAACUUCCUGGUCCACUGAGAUGUGAGCGAGCAGCCUCACCCUCCUACUGCCCUGAGCCAAACUGUCCUUUGCCACCUGACCUUCCUCUCAUGAUAAGCUAUCUCUCCGGAACUGUGAACCAGAAAAAAAUCUUCCCCUAAGAUGAUUCCAUCAUGCACAAGGUCACAAGAUAAGUAGCUGACACAGCACUUACAAGGGGCAUCUGCUGUGACCUAGGUAUUGUGCAUGACGCUUCUGUACAGAGCUUCGUAUACAGUGCACAUGCACUGGGUCCCCCUCCCUCGCUGGGGACCAUGGCAUACUCACACUCCAGAAGACACAAGCAGCCAGCUUAGCCUGCACAAUGCAACCACGGUCCCACAGACGUGCAGGAGAGCACACCUGGUUAGGCAGGUGUCACAGGUCUCAUUUGCCAAUGCAGGAAGAGCUUGAAACUUGGGUCCCUGGCCCCCUGAGUCAUGGCUGUGUGAAUGAACCCCAUACCUGGCUAUAAACUCAAACCUGUUUAUAUUUUC